GUUCCUCGUGCAAAUUCUGUUUGUGGUGGUCAGCAACUGUAUCUGAUAGCAGACUGCAUGUUACCUGACAGUUAUAAACAGAGACAUGAAGGAAGACAACAGUGUCAACAAUCCUGUUAUUUAUUGCCUUUUAUCUGGAAUGGUGCAAACAACAACAGAAUUAGGAAGGCAUGUGCAUGCAGGCCUCACCAUGUGAAGGAUCCUCAGCAAAACUCCAAACCACACAGAGAAAAUUCACUUGGCUCCAUGUUGCAUAGGAAACCUGAAUCACAGGUCACUGAUGAAGAGAGAGGAGAAAAGUGAUUGAAAAACACAUUCAGAAGCUGUCUACUCUUUCUAAGAACUGCAGCAACAUUACAGAGAGAGUAAGUGAUAUUCUUGGAUGAACAAUUUGAUCAGAGAAUAACAGUAAUGUUUUUCACAUUGACUCCUGUUCUUUAAUUUUAUUACAUGGGAUUAAAAAAAAAGAUUUUUGGAAGCAAACCGAGACAAUACAAAUAUGAAUGUUUUCAUCCUUGUGUCAUAUUAUACUAAAAACAAACCACAUGUUUUCUCCAAGAAUCAGAAUCAAGCAUGGACAUUUUUUCUUCUGAGUAUGGAAAUACUUUUGUCACACAGCCCCUCCCAUUCUGCUAUUAGCUAUAUUCACUGUAGUCUAUGAUUAAUGAGGCCUUGUGAUACCCAUUUUAACAAGGAAACAGGCCUGAGUAGGCUGUGAGGCUGUAUGUCAGUGAAGGUGAGAACUAGGGAAUCUUUGUUCAUGGCUUCCUCUAAAUAUUGACAGCAUCUUCCUGACUAGAGCUUGAUUUAGGAGGCUUUUUUUUUUUUUUCCCACAAAGGUGGCUCAAAUGAUUAAUGUAAGAUGGAAAUGAAUUGCUGAACCUUUACAGUAAGAAAUCUAAGAUUUUGAUUUUUCUUGCCUUAUUCCCUGGUUUAGGAUUAAUAUUUUAACCAUUUGAAUAACUUUGUUGCUUUUUAUCAAAAGAAUGAUUCAUUCAUUUUGAGAUGGAUCUGGUGAGUGCAUUUC
This 1027-nucleotide long non-coding RNA is filed under the name Anser cygnoides (Swan goose). Its description in RNAcentral is "lncRNA (ENSACDG00005015101.1)". Lineage: Eukaryota; Metazoa; Chordata; Aves; Anseriformes; Anatidae. The record is from RNAcentral.